GACGAACGCUGGCGGCGUGCUUAACACAUGCAAGUCGAACGGAAAGGCCCUGCUUUUGUGGGGUGCUCGAGUGGCGAACGGGUGAGUAACACGUGAGUAACCUGCCCUUGACUUUGGGAUAACUUCAGGAAACUGGGGCUAAUACCGGAUAGGAUCUCCUGCUGCAUGGUGGGGGUUGGAAAGUUUCGGCGGUUGGGGAUGGACUCGCGGCUUAUCAGCUUGUUGGUGGGGUAGUGGCUUACCAAGGCUUUGACGGGUAGCCGGCCUGAGAGGGUGACCGGCCACAUUGGGACUGAGAUACGGCCCAGACUCCUACGGGAGGCAGCAGUGGGGAAUAUUGCACAAUGGGCGGAAGCCUGAUGCAGCAACGCCGCGUGCGGGAUGACGGCCUUCGGGUUGUAAACCGCUUUCGCCUGUGACGAAGAGUGAGUGACGGUAAUGGGUAAAGAAGCACCGGCUAACUACGUG
This 468-nucleotide ribosomal RNA is filed under the name uncultured bacterium. RNAcentral describes it as "partial 16S ribosomal RNA". It matches the Rfam family "Bacterial small subunit ribosomal RNA", at positions 28 to 507 of the family's 1533-position model. The record is from RNAcentral.